This 253-nucleotide ribosomal RNA is filed under the name uncultured bacterium. Its description in RNAcentral is "partial 16S ribosomal RNA". It matches the Rfam family "Bacterial small subunit ribosomal RNA", at positions 524 to 776 of the family's 1533-position model. The record is from RNAcentral.
UACAGGGGGGGCAAGCGUUGUUCGGAAUUACUGGGCGUAAAGGGCUCGUAGGCGGCCAACUAAGUCCGACGUGAAAUCCCCAAGCUUAACUUGGGAACUGCGUCGGAUACUGGAUGGCUUGAAUUCGGGAGAGGGAUGCAGAAUUCCAGGUGUAGCGGUGAAAUGCGUAGAUAUCUGGAGGAAUACCGGUGGCGAAGGCGGGUCUCUGGGCCGUAACUGACGCUGAGGAGCGAAAGCGUGGGGAGCGAACAGG